This 624-nucleotide long non-coding RNA is filed under the name Ursus maritimus (polar bear). Its description in RNAcentral is "lncRNA (ENSUMAG00000008108.1)". The record is from RNAcentral. Lineage: Eukaryota; Metazoa; Chordata; Mammalia; Carnivora; Ursidae.
CAUAACACACAGUUCAUAAGCGGCAGGACAGAUCUAGGUAACUCCAAAAUUUGUUCUUAUCUACUAGGCUAUCGUAUUUGCCUGGGGGAGGGGCAGCUUGACUCCCACAUUCAGCCCAAAACACAGAGUCUGGAAUGAGGAAUGAGCAAGGAAGGAGAACGUGAAUGGUGUGUGUACUAUGACAGGUUGAAGAUGGAAUCCAUGGAGGAAGGCAGACGCCUGGGUGCCAGUCCAGAAGUGGCACUGUGAAAGCACCUGUCACAUCUGCUGUAGACGCCCUAGCAAUCCAGUGGGCUUGGAUUUGGACAUUCUCAGGAGGAACGGUUAAAGGCUGAUGGGACCAUAAAAGAUGAUAAUAUCUGGAAAGAUGAUGCUCAGAUACUUGGUAGAUCGUGUAAUUCAACUAAUUCCAAGAUAGAAGCUGGUUCAUUUGAUACCAGAGAAAUGAAGUUUCAGGAGAUCAAAACUGGAUCUCAGUCUCAUUUCUUUCCCAGGCUGGAAUUCUUGGGUGCUAUAAGUCCUGGAUAUACAACAGAUGUGAUGACAACAUUUUUCUUUUACGCAUGAAGAUAGAUGAUUCUUCAAAUUAAAGAUUGAAGCUGACUUUUCUCACCAGAAAUGGCU